GAUGAACGCUGGCGGCGUGCCUAAUACAUGCAAGUCGAGCGGAAGGACGAGGAGUUUGCUUGGCUGAUGUUAGGGGAGGAGGGGUGAGAAACACGAGGAUAACGUACCUAUAAGAGUGGGAUAACUAGGGGAAAGGGGAGAUAACAGGGGAGGAGAUUUUGCAGCGCGUGGUUCGAAGGUGAGAGACGGUGGUGGGGGAAGUAAUAGAGGGUUCCGAGCUGCAUUAGCUAGUUGGUAAGGUAAAGGCCUACGAAGGCUAGGAUGCGUAGCCGACCUGAGAGGCUGAUCGGCCACACUGGAACUGAGACACGGUCCAGACUCCUACGGGAGGCAGCAGUAGGGAAUCUUCCGCAAUGGGCGAAAGCCUGACGCAGCAACGCCGCGUGUGUGAUGAAGGUCUUCGGAUCGUAAAACUCUGUUAUUAGUGAUGAACAGCUGUGUCAUUAACUGUGGCCAUCUUGACGGUACCUAAUCAGAAAGCCACGGCUAACUACGUG
RNAcentral lists this ribosomal RNA (497 nucleotides) under uncultured bacterium. Its description in RNAcentral is "partial 16S ribosomal RNA". It matches the Rfam family "Bacterial small subunit ribosomal RNA", at positions 28 to 507 of the family's 1533-position model. The record is from RNAcentral.